UACGAAGGGGGCUAGCGUUGCUCGGAAUCAUUGGGCGUAAAGCGCACGUAGGCGGUUCGUUAUGUCGGAUGUGAAAGCCCUUGGCUUAACCGAGGAAGUGCAUCCGAAACUGGCGAGCUAGAGUACGAAAGAGGAUCGCGGAAUUCCCGGUGUAGAGGUGAAAUUCGUAGAUAUCGGGAGGAACACCGGUGGCGAAGGCGGCGACUCGUCGGGUCGAUACUGACGCAUGAGGUGGA
Molecule: ribosomal RNA, 236 nt
Filed under: uncultured bacterium
Lineage: Bacteria
Description: partial 16S ribosomal RNA
Rfam family: Bacterial small subunit ribosomal RNA
Source: RNAcentral